This 457-nucleotide ribosomal RNA is filed under the name uncultured bacterium. Its description in RNAcentral is "bacterial SSU rRNA". It matches the Rfam family "Bacterial small subunit ribosomal RNA", at positions 923 to 1379 of the family's 1533-position model. The record is from RNAcentral.
GCACAAGCGGUGGAGCAUGUGGUUUAAUUCGACGCAACGCGAAGAACCUUACCUGGGCUUGACAUGUUGGUGACCGCCGUGGAAACACGGUUUUCCUUCGGGACACCAUCACAGGUGGUGCAUGGCUGUCGUCAGCUCGUGUCGUGAGAUGUUGGGUUAAGUCCCGCAACGAGCGCAACCCCCAUCACUAGUUGCCAUCAGGUAAUGCUGGGAACUCUAGUGAAACUGCCGUCGUAAGACGUGAGGAAGGAGGGGAUGAUGUCAAGUCAUCAUGGCCUUUAUGCCCAGGGCUACACACGUGCUACAAUGGGGGGGACAAAGGGCUGCAACACAGUGAUGUGAAGCUAAUCCCAAAAACCUCCUCUCAGUUCAGAUUGCAGUCUGCAACUCGACUGCAUGAAGCUGGAAUCGCUAGUAAUCGUAUAUCAGCAAUGAUACGGUGAAUACGUUCCCGGGC